RNAcentral lists this transfer RNA (82 nucleotides) under Dreissena polymorpha. RNAcentral describes it as "transfer RNA tyrosine (anticodon AUA)". It matches the Rfam family "tRNA". From Rfam's summary of the family: Transfer RNA (tRNA) molecules are approximately 80 nucleotides in length. Their secondary structure includes four short double-helical elements and three loops (D, anti-codon, and T loops). Lineage: Eukaryota; Metazoa; Mollusca; Bivalvia; Myida; Dreissenidae. The record is from Rfam by way of RNAcentral.
GAUGUCGUGGUCUAGUGGAUAAGGCGAUAGACUAUAAUUCUUUUGGGAUAUUCCCGCGUAGGUUCGAAUCCUGCCGACAUCG